RNAcentral lists this ribosomal RNA (276 nucleotides) under uncultured Oscillibacter sp. Its description in RNAcentral is "partial 16S ribosomal RNA". It matches the Rfam family "Bacterial small subunit ribosomal RNA", at positions 61 to 339 of the family's 1533-position model. The record is from RNAcentral. Lineage: Bacteria; Bacillati; Bacillota; Clostridia; Eubacteriales; Oscillospiraceae.
AAAGAGGAUUCGUCCAAUUGAAGCAGAGGACAGUGGCGGACGGGUGAGUAACGCGUGAGGAACCUGCCUUUCAGAGGGGGACAACAGUUGGAAACGACUGCUAAUACCGCAUAACGCGUAGAGGUCGCAUGGCCUUUACGCCAAAGAUUUAUCGCUUCAAGAUGGCCUCGCGUCUGAUUAGCUGGUUGGCGGGGUAACGGCCCACCAAGGCGACGAUCAGUAGCCGGACUGAGAGGUUGAACGGCCACAUUGGGACUGAGAUACGGCCCAGACUCC